This 1460-nucleotide ribosomal RNA is filed under the name uncultured prokaryote. RNAcentral's name for it is "partial 16S ribosomal RNA". It matches the Rfam family "Bacterial small subunit ribosomal RNA". The record is from RNAcentral.
GUUUGAUCCUGGCUCAGAACGAACGCUGGCGGUAUGCUUAACACAUGCAAGUCGAACGAGAAAACCACUUCGGUGGCAAGUAAAGUGGCGCACGGGUGAGUAACGCGUAGAUAAUCUACCCUCUAGUCCGGGACAACUUCUCGAAAGGGGAGCUAAUACCAUCGAGUGUUUCAAUGUUAAAAGGUUUACUGCUAGGGGAUGAGUCUGCGUACCAUUAGCUUGUUGGUAGGGUAAUGGCCUACCAAGGCUACGAUGGUUAGCGGGUCUGAGAGGAUGAUCCGCCACACUGGAACUGAGACACGGUCCAGACUCCUACGGGAGGCAGCAGUGGGGAAUUUUGCGCAAUGGGCGAAAGCCUGACGCAGCAAUACCGCGUGAGUGAAGAAGGCCUUUGGGUCGUAAAGCUCUUUUCUAAGGGAAGAUAGUGACGGUACCUUAGGAAUAAGCACCGGCUAACUCCGUGCCAGCAGCCGCGGUAAUACGGAGGGUGCGAGCGUUGUUCGGAUUUACUGGGCGUAAAGGGCGCGUAGGCGGUUUAACAAGUCAGAUGUGAAAGCCCCGGGCUCAACCUGGGAACUGCAUUUGAAACUGGUUAACUAGAGUGUGGUAGAGGAGAGUGGAAUUUCAGGUGUAGCGGUGAAAUGCGUAGAGAUCUGAAGGAACACCAGUGGCGAAGGCGGCUCUUUGGACCAACACUGACGCUGAGGUGCGAAAGCGUGGGUAGCAAACGGGAUUAGAUACCCCGGUAGUCCACGCCGUAAACGAUGUCAACUAGCUGUUGGGAGGAUCUGCCUCUUAGUAGCGUAGCUAACGCGAUAAGUUGACCGCCUGGGGAGUACGGCCGCAAGGCUAAAACUCAAAUGAAUUGACGGGGGCCCGCACAAGCGGUGGAGCAUGUGGUUUAAUUCGAUGCAACGCGAAAAACCUUACCUGCCCUUGACAUGUAGCGAACAUUCCAGAGAUGGAUUGGUGCCUUCGGGAACGCUAACACAGGUCCUGCAUGGCUGUCGUCAGCUCGUGUCGUGAGAUGUUGGGUUAAGUCCCGUAACGAGCGCAACCCUUAUCCUUAGUUACCAGCACGUUAUGGUGGGGACUCUAAGGAGACUGCCGGUGAUAAACCGGAGGAAGGUGAGGACGACGUCAAGUCAUCAUGGCCCUUAUGAGUAGGGCUACACACGUGCUACAAUGGGCAGUAUAGAGGGUCGCAAUACCGCAAGGUGGAGCAAAUCCCAGAAAGCUGCUCUCAGUCCGGAUUGGAGUCUGCAACUCGACUCCAUGAAGUUGGAAUCGCUAGUAAUCGCGAAUCAGCAUGUCGCGGUGAAUACGUUCUCGGGCCUUGUACACACCGCCCGUCACACCAUGGGAGUGAGUUGCACCAGAAGUGGUUAGUCUAACCUUCGGGAGGACGAUCACCACGGUGUGAUUCAUGACUGGGGUGAAGUCAUAACAAGGUAGCCGUA